GACGAACGCUGGCGGCGUGCUUAACACAUGCAAGUCGAGCGGUAAGGCCUUUCGGGGUACACGAGCGGCGAACGGGUGAGUAGCACGUGGGUGAUCUGCCCUGCACUUCGGGAUAAGCCUGGGAAACUGGGUCUAAUACCGGAUAUGACCUCCUAUCGCAUGGUGGGUGGUGGAAAGAUUUAUCGGUGCAGGAUGGGCCCGCGGCCUAUCAGCUUGUUGGUGGGGUAAUGGCCUACCAAGGCGACGACGGGUAGCCGACCUGAGAGGGUGACCGGCCACACUGGGACUGAGACACGGCCCAGACUCCUACGGGAGGCAGCAGUGGGGAAUAUUGCACAAUGGGCGAAAGCCUGAUGCAGCGACGCCGCGUGAGGGAUGACGGCCUUCGGGUUGUAAACCUCUUUCAGCAGGGACGAAGCGCAAGUGACGGUACCUGCAGAAGAAGCACCGGCUAACUACGUG
Molecule: ribosomal RNA, 462 nt
Filed under: uncultured bacterium
Lineage: Bacteria
Description: partial 16S ribosomal RNA
Rfam family: Bacterial small subunit ribosomal RNA
Source: RNAcentral